UUAAGCAUAUCAAUAAGCGGAGGAAAAGAAACUAACAAGGAUUCCCCUAGUAACUGCGAGUGAAGCGGGAAAAGCUCAAAUUUAAAAUCUGGCGGUCUUUGGCCGUCCGAGUUGUAGUCUGGAGAAGUGCUUUCCGCGCUGGACCGUGUACAAGUCUCUUGGAACAGAGCGUCAUAGAGGGUGAGAAUCCCGUCUUUGACACGGACUACCAGUGCUUUGUGAUGCGCUCUCAACGAGUCGAGUUGUUUGGGAAUGCAGCUCAAAAUGGGUGGUAAAUUCCAUCUAAAGCUAAAUAUUGGCGAGAGACCGAUAGCGAACAAGUACCGUGAGGGAAAGAUGAAAAGCACUUUGGAAAGAGAGUUAAACAGUACGUGAAAUUGCUGAAAGGGAAACGAUUGAAGUCAGUCGCGUUGGCCGGAACUCAGCCUUGCUUCCGCUUGGUGUAUUUUCUGGUUGACGGGCCAGCAUCAGUUUUGAUCGUUGGAUAAAGGCUGGGGGAAUGUGGCACCUUCGGGUGUGUUAUAGCCCUCGGUCACAUACAACGGCUGGGACUGAGGAUCGCAGCACGCCUUUAUGGUCGGGGUUCGCCCACGUAUGUGCUUAGGAUGCUGGCAUAAUGGCUUUAAACGACCCGUCUUGAAACACGGACCAAGGAGUCUAACAUGCCCGCGAGUGUUUGGGUGGAAAACCCGAGCGCGUAAUGAAAGUGAAAGUUGAGAUCCCUGUCAUGGGGAGCAUCGACGCCCGGACCUGAACUUCUGUGACGGCUCUGCGGUGGAGCGUGUAUGUUGGGACCCGAAAGAUGGUGAACUAUGCCUGAAUAGGGUGAAGCCAGAGGAAACUCUGGUGGAGGCUCGUAGCGAUUCUGACGUGCAAAUCGAUCGUCAAAUUUGGGUAUAGGGGCGAAAGACUAAUCGAACCAUCUAGUAGCUGGUUCCUGCC
This 942-nucleotide ribosomal RNA is filed under the name Rhodonia placenta. RNAcentral describes it as "LSU rRNA". It matches the Rfam family "Eukaryotic large subunit ribosomal RNA", at positions 34 to 962 of the family's 3401-position model. Lineage: Eukaryota; Fungi; Basidiomycota; Agaricomycetes; Polyporales; Adustoporiaceae. The record is from RNAcentral.